ACGAUAGCUACAAAAUUAUCCUCUCUUGCAUAUAUAAUUAUACCGGUAUGGAUGAUUGGUUGAUUAAUUUGUUGAUUGAUUGCUUUUUAACGCCACUUUCAACACUAUCAUGCUAAUUCGUGCUGGUGAGUUUAUAUUGAUGGAGAAAGCCGAAGUCCCCGGAAAGAAACACCGACUUUCGGUACGAAAAACUAAUAAUUCUAUUCAAUUGAGAUUGGAGUCGAG
RNAcentral lists this long non-coding RNA (225 nucleotides) under Mytilus galloprovincialis (Mediterranean mussel). The record is from RNAcentral. Lineage: Eukaryota; Metazoa; Mollusca; Bivalvia; Mytilida; Mytilidae.